Molecule: ribosomal RNA, 253 nt
Filed under: uncultured bacterium
Lineage: Bacteria
Description: partial 16S ribosomal RNA
Rfam family: Bacterial small subunit ribosomal RNA
Source: RNAcentral
UACGGGGGGGGUAAGCGUUGUUCGGAAUUACUGGGCGUAAAGGGCUCGUAGGCGGCCAACUAAGUCAGACGUGAAAUCCCUCAGCUUAACUGGGGAACUGCGCCCGAAACUGCAGAGCUUGAGUACCGGAGAGGAUGGUGGAAUUCCCGAAGUAGAGGUGAAAUUCGUAGAUAUCGGGAGGAACACCGGUGGCGAAGGCGGCCCACUGGCUCGAUACUGACGCUGAGGUGCGAAAGCGUGGGGAGCAAACAGG